UAUUGGUCAAUGGUCGGGAGACUGAACCAGCCAAGCCGCGUGAGGGAGGAAGGUACAGAGUAUCGUAAACCUCUUUUGUCAGGGAACAAAGGCGGGGACGUGUCCCCGGAUGAGUGUACCUGAAGAAAAAGCAUCGGCUAACUCCGUGCCAGCAGCCGCGGUAAUACAGAAGAUGCGAGCGUUAUCCGGAUUUAUUGGGUUUAAAGGGUGCCCAGGGGGGCUGUUAAGUCAGCGGUCAAACCCCGGGGCUCAACCCCGGCCCGCCGUUGAAACUGGCAGUCUCGAGUUGGAGAGAAGUAUGCGGAAUGCGCGGCGUAGCGGUGAAAUGCAUAGAUAUCGCGCAGAACUCCGAUUGCGAAGGCAGCAUGCCGGCUCCACACUGACGCUGAGGCACGAAAGCGUGGGGAGCGAACAGG
Molecule: ribosomal RNA, 416 nt
Filed under: uncultured bacterium
Lineage: Bacteria
Description: bacterial SSU rRNA
Rfam family: Bacterial small subunit ribosomal RNA
Source: RNAcentral